UGUUAUUCCAACCAGCUUAAAAGCAUGUUAAAAGGCAGGCUAUAGAAUACGUAUUCUAUGGCUCUGUUAAAAGGUAUAAAACUUAGGUAUAAAACGCUGGGAACCACAAAGAUCGUGAUUAUUUGUAGGUUAUUUCCACAUCAAUCACAGUGUAAAGGAAACAACGCCAACACUACAAAAAAAAACAUUAGAAAAGAGAAGAUCGAGUUGAAAACCGAGUAAAACCUCUACCCAACCAUCAUAUGUGUCGAGUCCAUCUUCCUGCCCUGCCUUGUAAGUUGACGCAGGCUGCUUCCCGGAAAGUUAAUGGUUUCAAGUAACAGUGGCCGUGUCACUCCCUUUUCCACUGAAUAAGAAUAGAAGAGAGGGCAUCUACAUUUUCAUUGAGCGUGAAACCGUAACCGUGGACGUUAGCAAACAUAAUUUGAUAGCGCUGCUGCUGGAAUCAGAUCCGUUUUGGAUUUGACAGCAGAUAGACGCAGUACCUAUUUUGAAGACUUAAAAAUGGUUUUUUUACGGGGAUAUCCGACAGAAGAUGAAGGUUUCCUUAUCCAAGCAAUUAAUUUGUAGCUGCUGCGGUCAUUCAAGCGAUUCCAUUCAACAUUCCACAUCGCAUUAUUCUCUUAUCUUAAAUAGAAAAAAAAAAUAUUCCAUCAUUGCUGCAUUAAAAAGACUACCAUCGUUUCAUUUUAACGUUAAUUAGGCAUAUGUCAAUAAAAGCAUUGUUUUUCCCCCCUUUUUUUGUGAAAAAUUCCGUCUGACCCUGAUGUAAUCGCACAAGUCAAGAGCUCUAGAACCAAAAGAAAGCCAGUCGACGAAUAAGCGGAAUGGGUCACCUUGCAUUAGUCAUUCUAGCAUUCCGUGCGCAAAGUCACGUCCUUGGAGUUCGCUAUCUCUGCCCGCUUUAAAUAGAUGACUUUUGUAAACAAUGUUGCGGCAGACUGUCUGACGUGACUUAUCAAGCAGGUUUGUCAUCUUACUUCUUUGGUUCCAAGUACUUUACAUAAACAUAUUCUAGUUCUAGUUCUUAAAAAAUACUUCAAUAAGGCAUAUAAUUACUUUCAACUUGGCGACUCAAAAUCAAUAGGGAGAAAAUUGCUUUACCGAGAUUGCUGUCGUAAAAUCCUAUAGAAUAACUAUUACUAAAAGCCAGGUAAGUACAAUUAAUAAGCUAAUACCAAUUGGACGUCUAGGAAAGUAUCACUAAAUAAUCUUGGGUUUCUUGAGUUUUGUCUGGACAGUUGCUGCAUUCUGGCAAGAAAAUUUUUGAUUUUAGACAAUUGAAACAAUGCCAAGAAUAAGCUAAAGCUAUUCUGAAUCACAACAUAAUAUGCUUUGAAGAUCAAGCUAUAAAGUCUUGAUAAACUGGAUAUUUGAUGGUAUUUAUAGCUUAUUGGAAAAGAAAAUGCCGGAACUUGGUAUUGUCAUCGCUUUUUCACCUAUACACGAGUUGGUAUGUUGGUAAAAAAAACCUUACAUAAAAUAAAAAUUUAAUUAGUAUUAACUGUGUAACUUGUUGCGAGCAAAAAAACACUUUCGCGACCAUCUGUAUUUUCAAAUGCAUUUCAUAUGUAAAUUUUUGGCAACACAUCUAAUUUGCCGAAACAUAAAUCCGAUAAGCCCUUGGAUUUGAACAAAAGAAUGACAAAACGUAGUACAUGAGAAACCCGCAGACAACAAAAAUACAUGGAAUUACUUGAUA
Daphnia pulex (common water flea) is the source of this 1702-nucleotide long non-coding RNA. RefSeq lists it as uncharacterized. NCBI's taxonomy places the organism in Eukaryota, Metazoa, Arthropoda, Branchiopoda, Diplostraca, Daphniidae. The record is from RefSeq and is a predicted model, not a curated record. The transcript has 2 exons.